RNAcentral lists this ribosomal RNA (497 nucleotides) under uncultured bacterium. RNAcentral describes it as "partial 16S ribosomal RNA". It matches the Rfam family "Bacterial small subunit ribosomal RNA", at positions 28 to 507 of the family's 1533-position model. The record is from RNAcentral.
GAUGAACGCUGGCGGCGUGCCUAAUACAUGCAAGUCGAGCGAACGGACGAGAAGCUUGCUUUUCUGAUGUUAGCGGCGGACGGGUGAGUAACACGUGGAUAACCUACCUAUAAGACUGGGAUAACUUCGGGAAGCCGGAGCUAAUACCGGAUAAUAUUUUGAACCGCAUGAUUCAAAAGUGAAAGACGGUCUUGCUGUCACUUAUAGAUGGAUCCGCGCUGCAUUAGCUAGUUGGUAAGGUAACGGCUUACCAAGGCAACGAUGCAUAGCCGACCUGAGAGGGUGAUCGGCCACACUGGAACUGAGACACGGUCCAGACUCCUACGGGAGGCAGCAGUAGGGAAUCUUCCGCAAUGGGCGAAAGCCUGACGGAGCAACGCCGCGUGAGUGAUGAAGGUCUUCGGAUCGUAAAACUCUGUUAUUAGGGAAGAACAUAUGUGUAAGUAACUGUGCACAUCUUGACGGUACCUAAUCAGAAAGCCACGGCUAACUACGUG